CGCCUGCCCUGUGACGAAAGUUUAACGGCCGCGGUAUUUUGACCGUGCAAAGGUAGCGCAAUCACUCGUCUUUUAAAUGAAGACCUGUAUGAAUGGCAUGACGAGGGCUUAACUGUCUCCUUUUUCCAGUCAAUGAAAUUGAUCCCCCCGUGCAGAAGCGGGGAUACAACCAUAAGACGAGAAGACCCUAUGGAGCUUUAGACAUAAGACAGAUCUUGUCAAAUACUUCGAAAUAAAGAAACAAACUAAAAGAACCCUGCCCCAUUGUCUUUGGUUGGGGCGACCACGGGGAAACAAACAACCCCCACGCGGACUGGGAAAACAACUCUCACAACCAAGAGCCACAGCUCUAGUCAACAGAAAUUCUGACCUCAAGAUCCGGCAAUGCCGAUCAACGGACCGAGUUACCCUAGGGAUAACAGCGCAAUCCCCUUUUAGAGUCCAUAUCGACAAGGGGGUUUACGACCUCGAUGUUGGAUCAGGACAUCCUAAUGGUGCAGCAGCUAUUAAGGGUUCGUUUGUUCAACGAUUAAAGUCCU
This 539-nucleotide ribosomal RNA is filed under the name Betta antoni (Sanggau betta). Its description in RNAcentral is "partial 16S ribosomal RNA". It matches the Rfam family "Bacterial large subunit ribosomal RNA", at positions 1856 to 2597 of the family's 2925-position model. Lineage: Eukaryota; Metazoa; Chordata; Actinopteri; Anabantiformes; Osphronemidae. The record is from RNAcentral.